This 465-nucleotide ribosomal RNA is filed under the name uncultured bacterium. RNAcentral describes it as "partial 16S ribosomal RNA". It matches the Rfam family "Bacterial small subunit ribosomal RNA", at positions 28 to 507 of the family's 1533-position model. The record is from RNAcentral.
GACGAACGCUGGCGGCGUGCUUAACACAUGCAAGUCGAACGGAAAGGCCCUGCUUGCAGGGUACUCGAGUGGCGAACGGGUGAGUAACACGUGGGUGAUCUGCCCUGCACUUCGGGAUAAGCCUGGGAAACUGGGUCUAAUACCGGAUAGGAGCCAUUUUUAGUGUGAUGGUUGGAAAGUUUUUUCGGUGUAGGAUGAGCUCGCGGCCUAUCAGCUUGUUGGUGGGGUAAUGGCCUACCAAGGCGGCGACGGGUAGCCGGCCUGAGAGGGUGGACGGCCACAUUGGGACUGAGAUACGGCCCAGACUCCUACGGGAGGCAGCAGUGGGGAAGAUUGCACAAUGGGCGCAAGCCUGAUGCAGCGACGCCGCGUGGGGGAUGACGGCCUUCGGGUUGUAAACUCCUUUCGCUAGGGACGAAGCUUUUUGUGACGGUACCUAGAUAAGAAGCACCGGCUAACUACGUG